AGUUCCACUUUGCGUCGUUGACAUAACCAAACCAAAAUCGAGUUGCUUAACAAAAAACAGUGAGACACAACAAAUUUUCUUUCUCCUUCUGCGCUAAAUCAAACCCUAGGCUUCUCAUCGAAUCAAAAGAAAAGUCAAUCAAAUUCGAAUCCAAUUGAUUAAAUACCCAUCGUCUGAUUGAUUUCUCUUUGUUUCUUUAACUCAUUAAAUUCAGAGGAACUUGAAGAGAAGUAAUAACGAUGAAGGAGAUUCAUUUCUGACCAACUUCGUUUUCAACUCAGUCAUAUCGUUUCUGGUUCUUUAACCAAAUUAUGAUAUUUACGAAAUUCGUGAAUAAAUGGAUCAAAAGAAAACUUUCGUCUGUGAAGGGAGGAACUCCCUUGUUCUACCAAGUGAGGCGUCCACAUCGAAGAAAAAAGACCAUGUUGUAGAAGAUGAUGAGUAUUGCAUUACCAGAAGUGGGGAUGAAAAUACCAACUCUUGGUAACUUGGUAGCAGCUCUAGUGAAGCCGAUGCCGAAGCCAUUAUAAACAAUAGCAAAAAGAAUAAAGGAACAUCUCAGGAGGAAGAUGACUUAGACAAAGUUCUGGCCGAGCACGAUAAUGCUCCCAUUGUUUCAAAUUACUGCUUCUCCGAAAGAAGAAAAGGUUCAAGAUCAACCUGAACAGUUAGGCUCGGUUGAUGCUACUGGAGGGGAGAAGGAAGCGGAGGUAUAAACAGGGAAGUCUGCGGCAGCAAAGAAGAACAAAAAGGAGAAGGAGAAAAAGGCAGUUGCUGCAGCUGUAGUGGGAGUUCAGGAUGCAACGCAGGAGGAAACAGAGAGUCAAAAACGUGAUGACAAGCACCCGAAUCAUGUUAUAAAAAUUCAGGAGGCUUUGCAAAGACGUAAAGAACUUGAAGAGAGAAUGAGGAGGGAAGAGGAAGAUAAAGAAAGGAAGGAGUAAGAAAGGCACCUCAGGCAAGAGGAACUCAAAAAACAAGCAGAAAAAGCCAAGCGAAGGAAAAAGAAAAAGAGAGGAUGCUGAUGAGAAAGAAGGAAGGGAAGCCUAUAACAAGGAAGCAGAAAAAUGAAGCUCGUCGGCUUGAACUAAUUUAGGUUUUAGAAAAUCCCCCAUUCUGAUCUGAAUGGUUGUUUUGAAAUCAGUUAGGAGCUGGGCAGACAUGCUUGUCACUGGAGAAACUGAGGCUCGAUUGCCACUGUAGUGUAUCAUUUGCUGAUCUAGUUGAUGUGAGGCAUGCUCUUGCAAUGAUUUCUGAGUUGGCAUCUAAAUAUCUUUAUUCUAGAUCGCAUGCAUUAGAGGUUCUACUUCGAUUGACGUGCCUGCAGAAGAUAUGUUUUUUAGUGAUUCUGCUAAGGGUUAAACCCCCAAGGAAGUAUGCUUAUGCUAUUCAGAGCUUUGUGGUAUUGCUGCUCGAGAUACUGGUGCAUCCGCCUGGGAAAUAGCACCAGUGAGAAUUCAACAUCUACUCUGGUUUCUGAUAAUGAAUGGCUUGCUACUGAUUUCCUUGUAGGAAUAUUGUCGUUCUUUAAGAUACUGAUAUUUUGUGGAUACGGGUGGAUUUUGGCAAUUCCUCUCUGUAAUGCAGUUAAGCUACUGAUUUUUUGGGUUGUAGCAACAACAAGAUAAGUUUCUCUUGGAUUUUACUUUGAGCACUCUUAAAGUAGCUUUGAAUUGUGGAUGGAGAUUGAUUAAUGAAGUUUAUGAUAAAUGAAUGUGUUGUGCAGUUUCUUUGAGCUAUUCAAUUUGUUAUAGUGAAGAGGUGAUGAUGAACAUAAAUUGAACUGAGUAUAAGAAACAAGGAGCAACAUUCAAGUAUAAUGGAAAUACAAACAUUACACCAAACCAAAUGAGGGCAUUUAAGGAGUACUGCUUGUUGAAUGGUCUGAACUCUAAUGCAACAACAAAUGGGUAUUCUACCAGUAGAUCACUAGAGGAUAUUCUUGUGUUGGAUCCCCAAACUGGACCUCUGGUUGCACCACUAAAUCUCAGUACGAAGGGCAAAGUGGUUUAUUGUGUGAUGGUUCCCAUCAGGUCAGCAAUCUUCUGCAACAAUCUCUCCUCCCCACGGGCGUCCUGUACCAGUUCUGUAACAAGUGCCACAAUUAACCAAAGCUCAUCUUUUUUAUGAAAUGCAUGGACGAAACUGAAGGGCUGUCAGUAGAUACCUUAUUUAUUAACCAUGAGUUGUACCAGCAGUGAUCUUCUCAUUUUGGUUCCUGCUACUUUUAGUUGAUAGAAACUGCCAGUUCUGCCGUUUCGAAGCGUGAAUCAAAAUGGAUGACUUGGCUGAAACAAAUGUUGGCGUUUUCGUUUUGAUGUUUUUUUCCUUCUUUCUUACUCUAUAAGAAGAAUGGCCUCAACAUAACUUAGUUACUUAUGUGCUUUACUAUGUUCAGUGCGCACUCCUCAAAUUGAUGGGAAGGAGAUAUUCCGCCAAGCCAGGUCUGACUAUUAUGGGGUUCAGUUCUUAGCCACGAUUUUUAUUGACAAUUUCGAAAGUUUACAACUAUACGAAAUUGUGGAUAUUUGGAACUGCAGGAGUACUUUGUCUUAUGAGCAGUUCAGUGCAUUUCUUUCCAACAUCAAGGAGCUGAACUGUCAAAAUCAAACUCGAGAGGAAACGUUAAGGAAGGCAGAAUAAUUAUUUGGUACAGACAUGAGACAACAAAGAUCAUUACUUAUCACUCCAAGGGCUGCUUAUUCGUAACAACCAUUAGGACUUAAAGGCGUAUUCCAAAGAUGGUGCAUCAUAAUAGAAUGGCGCAAAAGAAGCCAAAGAAACCAAACUGGCACCUUCUAAUAAUUGAAAAGGUUGGAAAUUUGGGAUAUGAAGAGAUUGAAUGGGAGUAAAAUAGAAGUUGUUGCUAGUCACUGGGUACACCAUUCUCUCUAUCAUGUUACAUGAUCUGAUACCAUCAGUUGUUACCCCCAACCGUCCAAGCCGCCAUCUAGUGUAUAUUUGUUGGUUCAUGUAUGCUGUGUAACCUUUACAGUGGAUUACAAGUUUAACUAAAUGGAAGAUGUCGGGUUUUUUCCAAAUUGUGUCAGCAUCCUAAUUUUGUGAAUACUUGCAUUGUCAUUUGUAUAUUUUGGUUUGGAAUACAGUGGAUAUGAAUCUGACACGUUUGGAAUUUGA
This is a long non-coding RNA of Papaver somniferum (opium poppy), 3138 nucleotides long. RefSeq lists it as uncharacterized. The record is from RefSeq and is a predicted model, not a curated record. NCBI's taxonomy places the organism in Eukaryota, Viridiplantae, Streptophyta, Magnoliopsida, Ranunculales, Papaveraceae. The transcript is spliced from 9 exons.